GGAGCUGUAGCUCAGUUGGUUAGAGCGUCUGCCUGUCACGUAGAAGGUCGCGGGUUCGAGCCCCGUCAGCUCCG
This 74-nucleotide transfer RNA is filed under the name Chlorobiales bacterium. It matches the Rfam family "tRNA". From Rfam's summary of the family: Transfer RNA (tRNA) molecules are approximately 80 nucleotides in length. Their secondary structure includes four short double-helical elements and three loops (D, anti-codon, and T loops). The record is from Rfam by way of RNAcentral. Lineage: Bacteria; Pseudomonadati; Chlorobiota; Chlorobiia; Chlorobiales.